UACGUAGGGUCCAAGCGUUAUCCGGAAUCACUGGGCGUAAAGCGUGCGUAGGUGGGUGUUUAAGUGAGAGGUUAAAUCGUGUGGCUCAACCAUAUCGAUGCUUUUCAUACUGGGCACCUAGAGGACAGCAGAGGCAAGUGGAAUUGGUAGUGUAGCAGUGAAAUGCGUAGAUAUUACCAGGAACACCAAUGGCGAAGUCAGCUUGCUGGGCUACUCCUGACACUGAGGUACGAAAGCGUGGGGAGCGAACAGG
Molecule: ribosomal RNA, 253 nt
Filed under: uncultured bacterium
Lineage: Bacteria
Description: partial 16S ribosomal RNA
Rfam family: Bacterial small subunit ribosomal RNA
Source: RNAcentral